Galeopterus variegatus (Sunda flying lemur) is the source of this 619-nucleotide long non-coding RNA. RefSeq lists it as uncharacterized. NCBI's taxonomy places the organism in Eukaryota, Metazoa, Chordata, Mammalia, Dermoptera, Cynocephalidae. The transcript is spliced from 2 exons. The record is from RefSeq and is a predicted model, not a curated record.
GCAGAGAGGUCUUGGGGCCUGAGUGCUUGGACUUCAUUUAUAACCAAAGCUGGAGGGGCAUGGAGGUGGCAGCUCCAUGAAGACAGGCCCAUCUGAGUCCAAAGGGCCUCUUUUUUGCUUUUGUUUUUUUUCCUCCUGGCAAGGAUCUGCAAUGGGCUGAAGCCAGAGUCCUGUAACAUCCCUCCCAAGAAAACUAGGGGAGGAAGCCAGGACCUCAUUGGUUCUGCCUGCAGAUGAAAAGUGCAUAAGGCCUGGAAGGAAAUGAACAAAAGAAGCUCCUGGGCACCUGUCUCCCGCCUGAGCCUCCGUUCUUCUAUUAUGAGAGAAGAGAAGCAUUGUAUGCAUGGGGGAUGGUGAAGAGGCAGCUGGGUUGAGUUUUCUCUUUAGGCAGAAAUGCUCUGCCCAGUCCCAGUGCUUGGACUGGGUAAUACAUGCCUCUCUCACUUUCCCAAAAGUGGGGCAAAGGGCUCUGCACUUUUUGACGCUAGUGGGGGAACAGGGAGGAAACUUGCUUGCAAAAGGGUAUUUGUAUCUCCUGUUUGUGAUGUAUUCACCUCUAGAACAGUCACUCUCAGGAUGGUGUGAAUAUACCUUCCACCUUUGGGGUGGUGGGACUGUU